Molecule: non-coding RNA, 19 nt
Filed under: Rattus norvegicus (Norway rat)
Lineage: Eukaryota; Metazoa; Chordata; Mammalia; Rodentia; Muridae
Source: RNAcentral
GAAGGUAACAGAAAGGUGG